RNAcentral lists this ribosomal RNA (411 nucleotides) under uncultured bacterium. RNAcentral describes it as "bacterial SSU rRNA". It matches the Rfam family "Bacterial small subunit ribosomal RNA", at positions 505 to 916 of the family's 1533-position model. The record is from RNAcentral.
GUGCUAGCAGCCGCGGUAAUACGAAGGGGGCUAGCGUUGUUCGGAAUCACUGGGCGUAAAGCGCACGUAGGCGGAUCUUUAAGUCAGGGGUGAAAUCCCGAGGCUCAACCUCGGAACUGCCUUUGAUACUGGAGGUCUCGAGUUCGGGAGAGGUGAGUGGAACCGCGAGUGUAGAGGUGAAUGUCGUAGAUAUCCGCAAGAACACCAGUGGCGAAGGCGGCUCACUGGCCCGAUACUGACGCUGAGGUGCGAAAGCGGGGGGAGCAAACAGGAUUAGAUCCCCUGGUAGUCCACGCCGUAAACGAUGGAUGCUAGCCGUUGGGGAGCUUGCUCUUCAGUGGCGCAGCUAACGCUUUAAGCAUCCCGCCUGGGGAGUACGGUCGCAAGAUUAAAACUCAAAGGAAUUGACGG